GCCACGGUGGUCUAGCGGUUAGAACGCUGGCCUUGUAAUUCUUUAGUCCCGGGUUCGAUUCCCGGUGGUGCCC
This 73-nucleotide transfer RNA is filed under the name Zootermopsis nevadensis. It matches the Rfam family "tRNA". Rfam says of the family: Transfer RNA (tRNA) molecules are approximately 80 nucleotides in length. Their secondary structure includes four short double-helical elements and three loops (D, anti-codon, and T loops). The record is from Rfam by way of RNAcentral. Lineage: Eukaryota; Metazoa; Arthropoda; Insecta; Blattodea; Termopsidae.